GUGAUGGGUUUUAAGCAUGAGCCAAGGAA
This 29-nucleotide non-coding RNA is filed under the name Homo sapiens (human). The record is from RNAcentral. Lineage: Eukaryota; Metazoa; Chordata; Mammalia; Primates; Hominidae.